UCACCUGCCGAAGCAACUAGCCCUGAAAAUGGAUGGCGCUCUAGCGUCGUGCCUAUACCGGGCCGUCAACGGCAAAGUGGGCUACUGUCUCGUCGGUGCAAGCCGACGGGCUUGGCCGUUAAGCCUUGACGAGUAGGAGGCGCGUGACGGUGUGCGCAGAAGGGUCUGGGCGCGAGCCUGCCUGGAGCCGCCGUCGGUGCAGAUCUUGGUGGUAGUAGCAAAUACUCUAGCGAGGGCCUGGAGGGCUGAUGUGGAGAAGGGUUUCUUGUGAACAGCCGUUGCACAAGAGUCAGUCGACCCUAAGCCCUAGGAGAAAUCCGAUGUUGAUGGGCAGCUAUCACGCGGCUGGAUCGGUUUGUGCGCCUUAUCCACUUAAGAGCGCCGCUGACGGCCUACCGACUGCUCCCGUUGGGCGAAAGGGAAUCCGGUCCCUAUUCCGGAACCCGGCUGCGGAACCGUCACUUCGCGGGCACUCGCCUGCGAGCGCUCGUCGGGGUAACCCAAAAUGACCCGGAGACGCCGGCGGGAGGUCUGGAAAGAGUUGUCUUUUCUUUAUAAGCGUUCGAGUUCCCUGGAAUCCUAUAGCAGGGAGAUAGGGUUUGGAACGCGAAGAGCACCGCAGUUGCGGCGGUGUCUGGACCUUCCCCCCGGACCUUGAAAAUCCGGGUGAGGGCUACGCGGAAUUGUCGCGCCGGCUCGUACCCAUAUCCGCAGCAGGUCUCCAA
Molecule: ribosomal RNA, 725 nt
Filed under: Eusarima sp. 3 MW-2016
Lineage: Eukaryota; Metazoa; Arthropoda; Insecta; Hemiptera; Issidae
Description: eukaryotic LSU rRNA
Rfam family: Eukaryotic large subunit ribosomal RNA
Source: RNAcentral